UCCGAUUUGUCACCGGCAGUCUCCCUAGAGUCCCCGUCUUUCACGCUGGCAACUAGGGACAGGGGUUGCGUUCGUUGCGGGACUUAACCCAACACCUCACGGCACGAGCUGACGACAGCCAUGCAGCACCUGUGCUGGUACCCGACUCUACGGGUCGCCGACCCUUUCGGGCGACUACUGCCAGCAUGUCAAGCCCUGGUAAGGUUCUUCGCUUUGCAUCGAAUUAAGCCACGCGCUCCGCCGCUUGUGCGGGCCCCCGUCAAUUCCUUUGAGUUUCAGCCUUGCGGCCGUACUCCCCAGGCGGGGCACUUAAUGCGUUAGCUGCGGCACCCAGGGGGUCAAUACCCCGGACACCUAGUGCCCAUCGUUUACAGCGUGGACUAC
This 384-nucleotide unclassified non-coding RNA is filed under the name uncultured bacterium. RNAcentral describes it as "contains 16S-23S intergenic spacer region". The record is from RNAcentral.